CCUACGGGAGGCAGCAGUGGGGAAUAUUGGGCAAUGGGCGCAAGCCUGACCCAGCAACGCCGCGUGAAGGAAGAAGGCUUUCGGGUUGUAAACUUCUUUUGUCAGGGAAGAGUAGAAGACGGUACCUGACGAAUAAGCCACGGCUAACUACGUGCCAGCAGCCGCGGUAAUAAGUAGGUGGCAAGCGUUAUCCGGAUUUACUGGGUGUAAAGGGCGUGUAGGCGGGGACGCAAGUCAGAUGUGAAAACCACGGGCUCAACCUGUGGCCUGCAUUUGAAACUGUGUUUCUUGAGUACUGGAGAGGCAGACGGAAUUCCCAGUGUAGCGGUGAAAUGCGUAGAUAUUAGGAGGAACACCAGUGGCGAAGGCGGUCUGCUGGACAGCAACUGACGCUGAGGCGCGAAAGCGUGGGGAGCAAACAGGAUUAGAUACCCGUGUAGUC
This 442-nucleotide ribosomal RNA is filed under the name uncultured bacterium. Its description in RNAcentral is "partial 16S ribosomal RNA". It matches the Rfam family "Bacterial small subunit ribosomal RNA", at positions 338 to 795 of the family's 1533-position model. The record is from RNAcentral.